AUUCCAGCUCCAGUAGCGUAUAUUAAAGUUGUUGCGGUUAAAAAGCUCGUAGUUGGAUUUCUGUUUCUGGGAUCUGGUCCGCCUCACGGUGAGCACUGGAUAACUGGGGACAUCCUCUCGAAGGCGGCGGGUGCACUUGAUUGUGUGUUUGUUGAAUUCGGGACCUUUACUUUGAAAAAAUUAGAGUGUUCAAAGCAGGCGUCGGCUUGAAUACAUUAGCAUGGAAUAAUGGAAUAGGACUUUGGUUCUAUUUUGUUGGUUUCUAGGACCGAAGUAAUGAUUAAUAGGGACAGUUGGGGGCAUUAGUAUUUAAUUGUCAGAGGUGAAAUUCUUGGAUUUAUGAAAGACUAACUACUGCGAAAGCAUUUGCCAAGGAUGUUUUCAUCA
RNAcentral lists this ribosomal RNA (387 nucleotides) under Choanoflagellata sp. RNAcentral describes it as "partial small subunit ribosomal RNA". It matches the Rfam family "Eukaryotic small subunit ribosomal RNA", at positions 582 to 975 of the family's 1831-position model. The record is from RNAcentral. Lineage: Eukaryota; Choanoflagellata.